AAAAAAAAAAACCUACCUGAAUGCUAGUUUUAGGGGUUUUUUUUUGUACUACAUUCUGUUCACAAUCUCAUGUAAUGUAACUUCAGGUCAUGGUAGAAUCUAGUAUUAUUUUUUUUCUUUUCUUUAUUUUACCAUAGAUAGAGGAGCAUAGGCAUGCAAACAGCUUUCUGAACAGAGCUCAUUGGAUGUCAUCUUUGUUUAGGGAACAUUGGUUGUUUUUGCAUUGUUGCUCCACAAUGAGGGUUUUUUUCUGUCAUGGGUACAAAACUCCUCACUUGGUUUGCAGUUUGUCUCCUGCAUAUAUAUGAUGAUGUUUGCUCAGCAAUUUAGCUUAUAUUGAAUUUAUAUUUUGGAAUAGAAGAACAACACAGAAUUAGAGGUCUGUAUUUCAGACAUUUAAAUUUAGUCUAGAUGACUUCCACUUUGGAAGUUGCAACUACUGUCACAAGCAGCAAGCCAAAGGAGCACUGAGAUCUUAGGAGCAGCAGUUCUGUCUGGUAUGUAUUCAAUCCUUCUUGUACAAACACUUCAGUACACAGAGAAAUCUGAUGUGAAGACUAUACUGAGGACACUGAAUCAGUCUUUGAAAAUACCUACUUUUUCACUGACCAUAGAAGGAAGAAAGGUUUACUUGAGAGGACGUUUUACAAGAGCUCAUCCUAGUGUUAGGUGACAGAACUCCAACCUUGACAAUGAAUCUCUACUCAAUACUACAAUAAGCCACAGAGAGUAUGUACAGAUUCCUGCAUCUGCAAGAAAAAUGUACACACUGGACAAGAAUCUCUGCUAAACAAAAGGGAUAAAAUAAG
This 809-nucleotide long non-coding RNA is filed under the name Gallus gallus (chicken). RNAcentral describes it as "lncRNA (ENSGALG00010010670.1)". The record is from RNAcentral. Lineage: Eukaryota; Metazoa; Chordata; Aves; Galliformes; Phasianidae.